This 441-nucleotide ribosomal RNA is filed under the name uncultured bacterium. RNAcentral describes it as "partial 16S ribosomal RNA". It matches the Rfam family "Bacterial small subunit ribosomal RNA", at positions 338 to 795 of the family's 1533-position model. The record is from RNAcentral.
CCUACGGGUGGCAGCAGUGGGGAAUUUUGCGCAAUGGGGGAAACCCUGACGCAGCAACGCCGCGUGCGGGACGCAGGCCCUCGGGUUGUAAACCGCUUUCAGCAGGGAAGACUUUACGACGGUACCUGCAGAAGAAGCUCCGGCUAAGUACGUGCACGCAGCCGCGGUGAUACGUAGGGGGCGAGCGUUGUCCGGAUUAAUUGGGCGUAAAGCGCGCGUAGGCGGUCGCCUCAGCGGGACCUCUAACCCCGGGUCUAAACCCCGGGCCGGGUCGCGGACUGGGCGGCUGGAGUGCGGUAGGGGAGAGCGGAAUUCACGGUGUAGCGGUGGAAUGCGCAGAUAUCGGGAAGAACACCGAUGGCGAAGGCAGCUCUCUGGGCCGUCACUGACGCUGAGGCGCGAAAGCUGGGGGAGCGAACAGGAUUAGAUACCCGAGUAGUC